AGCAGCCGCGGUAAUUCCAGCUCCAAUAGCGUAUAUUAAAGUUGUUGCAGUUAAAAAGCUCGUAGUUGAAUUUCGGGGUCAGUAGGUUGGUCAUGCCACUGGUAUGUACUGGUCUCACUGAUUCCUCCUUCCUGAUGAACUGUAAUGCCAUUAAUUUGGUGUUGCAGGGAAUCUGGACUGUUACUUUGAAAAAAUUAGAGUGUUUAAAGCAGGCUAACGCCUGAAUACAUUAGCAUGGAAUAAUGAAAUAGGACGUUCGAUCCUAUUUUGUUGGUUUUCUAGGAUUGACGUAAUGAUUAAUAGGGAUAGUUGGGGGCAUUAGUAUUCAAUUGUCAGAGGUGAAAUUCUUGGAUUUAUUUGAAGACUAACUACUGCGAAAGCAUUUGCCAAGGAUGUUUUCUAUUAAUCAAGAACGAAAGUUAAGGGGAGUCGAAGACGAUCAGAUACCGUCGUAGUCUUAACCUAAUAAACUAUGCCGACUAGGGAUCGGAUGAUGUUUAAUUUUUUAAUUGUACUCUAC
Molecule: ribosomal RNA, 520 nt
Filed under: uncultured Glomus
Lineage: Eukaryota; Fungi; Glomeromycota; Glomeromycetes; Glomerales; Glomeraceae
Description: SSU rRNA
Rfam family: Eukaryotic small subunit ribosomal RNA
Source: RNAcentral